RNAcentral lists this ribosomal RNA (867 nucleotides) under uncultured bacterium. RNAcentral describes it as "bacterial SSU rRNA". It matches the Rfam family "Bacterial small subunit ribosomal RNA", at positions 149 to 1029 of the family's 1533-position model. The record is from RNAcentral.
UUUAGAAAUGAAGAUUAACACCCCAUAAUAUAUUUAGGCCGCAUGUUUUUAUAUUAAAGGUUACGGUACAAGAUGAGUAUGCGUCCUAUUAGCUAGUUGGUAUGGUAACGGCAUACCAAGGCAACGAUAGGUAGGGGCCCUGAGAGGGGGAUCCCCCACACUGGUACUGAGACACGGACCAGACUCCUACGGGAGGCAGCAGUGAGGAAUAUUGGACAAUGGGGGGAACCCUGAUCCAGCCAUGCCGCGUGCAGGAAGACUGCCCUAUGGGUUGUAAACUGCUUUUGUACGGGAAGAAACCGCUCUACGCGUAGAGCCUUGACGGUACCGUAAGAAUAAGCAUCGGCUAACUCCGUGCCAGCAGCCGCGGUAAUACGGAGGAUGCAAGCGUUAUCCGGAAUCAUUGGGUUUAAAGGGUCCGUAGUGGGCCGGUCAGUCAGAGGUGAAAUCCUGCAGCUCAACUGUAGAACUGCCUUUGAUACUGCCGGUCUUGAAUCGUUGUGAAGUGGUUAGAAUAUGUAGUGUAGCGGUGAAAUGCAUAGAUAUUACAUAGAAUACCGAUUGCGAAGCAGAUCACUAACAGCGUAUUGACACUGAUGGACGAAAGCGUAGGUAGCGAACGGGAUUAGAUACCCCGGUAGUCUACGCCGUAAACGAUGGAUACUAGCUGUCCGGCUUCGGCUGGGUGGCUAAGCGAAAGUGAUAAGUAUCCCACCUGGGGAGUACGUUCGCAAGAAUGAAACUCAAGGAAUUGACGGGGGCCCGCACAAGCGUGGAGCAUGUGGUUUAAUUCGAUGAUACGCGAGGAACCUUACCAGGGCUUAAAUGUAGACUGACAGCUUUAGAGAUAGAGUUUUCUUCGGACAG